Molecule: ribosomal RNA, 468 nt
Filed under: uncultured bacterium
Lineage: Bacteria
Description: partial 16S ribosomal RNA
Rfam family: Bacterial small subunit ribosomal RNA
Source: RNAcentral
GACGAACGCUGGCGGCGUGCUUAACACAUGCAAGUCGAACGGAAAGGCCCUGCUUUUGUGGGGUGCUCGAGUGGCGAACGGGUGAGUAACACGUGAGUAACCUGCCCUUUACUUUGGGAUAACUUCAGGAAACUGGGGCUAAUACCUGAUAGGAGCUCCUGCUGCAUGGUGGGGGUUGGAAAGUUUCGGCGGUUGGGGAUGGACUCGCGGCUUAUCAGCUUGUUGGUGGGGUAGUGGCUUACCAAGGCUUUGACGGGUAGCCGGCCUGAGAGGGUGACCGGCCACAUUGGGACUGAGAUACGGCCCAGACUCCUACGGGAGGCAGCAGUGGGGAAUAUUGCACAAUGGGCGGAAGCCUGAUGCAGCAACGCCGCGUGCGGGAUGAAGGCCUUAGGGUUGUAAACCGCUUUCGCCUGUGACGAAGCGUGAGUGACGGUAAUGGGUAAAGAAGCACCGGCUAACUACGUG